Molecule: long non-coding RNA, 495 nt
Filed under: Mytilus galloprovincialis (Mediterranean mussel)
Lineage: Eukaryota; Metazoa; Mollusca; Bivalvia; Mytilida; Mytilidae
Source: RNAcentral
CAAAAUUAUUGUACUAUUUCACGGUGAUCAGUUUUUAUUGGCGGAGGAAGCCACAGUACCCGGAGAGAUCCACUGACAAGAGAUAAACAGCAUGUAGAUACCGAUGCUCAUGCAGCAAAAAUGCAUUACAACUUAACUACAUACUAUAUAAAAAAAGAAGAUGUGGUAUGAUUGCCAAUGACACAACUAUCCACAAAAGACCAAAAUGACACAGACAUUAACAACUAUAGGUCACCGUACGGCCUUCAGCAAUGAGAAAAGCCCAUACCGCAUAGUCAGCUAUAAAAGGCCCCGAUAAAACAAUGUAAAACAAUUCAAACGAGAAAACUAACAGCCUUAUUUAUGUAAAAAAAAAUGAACGAAAAACAAAUAUGUAACACAUAAACAAACGACAACCACUGAAUUACAGGCUCCUGACUUGGGACAGGCACAUUUGCUAUAUAUUCUUAAAAUAUAUCAGUUGGCUAAUUUAAAAGGUAGUGUUUUGAAGUGUGG